GACGAACGCUGGCGGCGUGCCUAAUACAUGCAAGUAGAACGCUGAAGGAGGAGCUUGCUUCUCUGGAUGAGUUGCGAACGGGUGAGUAACGCGUAGGUAACCUGCCUGGUAGCGGGGGAUAACUAUUGGAAACGAUAGCUAAUACCGCAUAAUAGCAGUUAUUGCAUGAUAACUGUUUGAAAGGUGCAAUUGCAUCACUACCAGAUGGACCUGCGUUGUAUUAGCUAGUUGGUGGGGUAACGGCUCACCAAGGCGACGAUACAUAGCCGACCUGAGAGGGUGAUCGGCCACACUGGGACUGAGACACGGCCCAGACUCCUACGGGAGGCAGCAGUAGGGAAUCUUCGGCAAUGGACGGAAGUCUGACCGAGCAACGCCGCGUGAGUGAAGAAGGUUUUCGGAUCGUAAAGCUCUGUUGUAAGAGAAGAACGAGUGUGAGAGUGGAUU
This 447-nucleotide ribosomal RNA is filed under the name Streptococcus mitis. RNAcentral describes it as "bacterial SSU rRNA". It matches the Rfam family "Bacterial small subunit ribosomal RNA", at positions 28 to 464 of the family's 1533-position model. Lineage: Bacteria; Bacillati; Bacillota; Bacilli; Lactobacillales; Streptococcaceae. The record is from RNAcentral.